This 253-nucleotide ribosomal RNA is filed under the name uncultured bacterium. RNAcentral describes it as "partial 16S ribosomal RNA". It matches the Rfam family "Bacterial small subunit ribosomal RNA", at positions 524 to 776 of the family's 1533-position model. The record is from RNAcentral.
UACGUAGGGGGCAAGCGUUAUCCGGAUUCACUGGGUGUAAAGGGAGCGUAGACGGCGACGCAAGUCUGGAGUGAAAGCCCGGGGCCCAACCCCGGGACUGCUCUGGAAACUGCGGCGCUGGAGUACGGGAGGGGCAGGCGGAAUUCCCGGUGUAGCGGUGAAAUGCGUAGAUAUCAGGAGGAACACCGGCGGCGAAGGCGGCCUGCUGGACCGUGACUGACGUUGAGGCUCGAGAGCGUGGGGAGCAAACAGG